UUAAAACUUUCAACAAUGGAUCUCUUGGUUCCGGCAUCGAUGAAGAACGCAGCGAACUGCGAUAAGUAAUGUGAAUUGCAGAAUUCAGUGAAUCAUCGAGUCUUUGAACGCACAUUGCGCCCCCUGGCAUUCCGGGGGGCAUGCCUGUCCGAGCGUCAUU
RNAcentral lists this ribosomal RNA (160 nucleotides) under Aspergillus pseudodeflectus. RNAcentral's name for it is "5.8S ribosomal RNA". It matches the Rfam family "5.8S ribosomal RNA". Rfam says of the family: 5.8S ribosomal RNA (5.8S rRNA) is a component of the large subunit of the eukaryotic ribosome. Lineage: Eukaryota; Fungi; Ascomycota; Eurotiomycetes; Eurotiales; Aspergillaceae. The record is from RNAcentral.